Molecule: transfer RNA, 74 nt
Filed under: Lachnospiraceae bacterium
Lineage: Bacteria; Bacillati; Bacillota; Clostridia; Lachnospirales; Lachnospiraceae
Also listed under: 1 other name
Description: tRNA-Arg
Rfam family: tRNA
About the family: Transfer RNA (tRNA) molecules are approximately 80 nucleotides in length.
Source: RNAcentral
GUCUGCGUAGCUCAGCAGGAUAGAGCGACCGCCUCCUAAGCGGUAGGUCGGAGGUUCGAAUCCUCUCGUGGACG